Molecule: ribosomal RNA, 491 nt
Filed under: uncultured Niastella sp.
Lineage: Bacteria; Pseudomonadati; Bacteroidota; Chitinophagia; Chitinophagales; Chitinophagaceae
Description: bacterial SSU rRNA
Rfam family: Bacterial small subunit ribosomal RNA
Source: RNAcentral
AGAGUUUGAUCAUGGCUCAGGAUGAACGCUAGCGGCAGGCUUAAUACAUGCAAGUCGAGGGGCAGCAUGGGUGUAGCAAUACAUCUGAUGGCGACCGGCAAACGGGUGCGGAACACGUACAGAACCUUCCUUCGAGCGGGGAAUAGCCCAGAGAAAUUUGGAUUAAUACCCCAUAGCAUUAUGAAGUGGCAUCACUUUAUAAUUAAAGAUUUAUCACUUGAAGAUGGCUGUGCGGCUGAUUAGGUAGUUGGCGGGGUAACGGCCCACCAAGCCUGCGAUCAGUAACUGGUGUGAGAGCACGACCAGUCACACGGGCACUGAGACACGGGCCCGACUCCUACGGGAGGCAGCAGUAAGGAAUAUUGGUCAAUGGACGCAAGUCUGAACCAGCCAUGCCGCGUGGAGGAUGAAGGUCCUCUGGAUUGUAAACUUCUUUUAUCUGGGACGAAAAAAGAUCUUUCUAGAUCAACUGACGUACCAGAUAAUAGACC